This is a microRNA precursor of Poecilia formosa (Amazon molly), 113 nucleotides long. NCBI's taxonomy places the organism in Eukaryota, Metazoa, Chordata, Actinopteri, Cyprinodontiformes, Poeciliidae. The record is from Ensembl.
CAGAAGAUACUGACAUACAGUGUUGUCACCCAUAAAGUAGAAAGCACUACUAAACUUCACUAUACAGUGUAGUGUUUCCUACUUUAUGGAUGAGUAUACUGUUAGCUGCAGAG